Long non-coding RNA from Coregonus clupeaformis (lake whitefish), 586 nucleotides. RefSeq lists it as uncharacterized. The transcript has 3 exons. The record is from RefSeq and is a predicted model, not a curated record. Lineage: Eukaryota; Metazoa; Chordata; Actinopteri; Salmoniformes; Salmonidae.
CAAACCAACAUCUGUACCGUGACCUCUGGGACAGUAGAAAGGACAGCAACCCUGAAACAGCAAGAUCCGGUCCAGGGUUCUCCAAGCAGUGAGGUGUCCAUCCCAUGCAGUGUCUCUCAGUCUGACCUCCUGACCUUUAACCUCACCUGGAGGUUCAACCAGAUAGACACCAUCCUCAACUCUACCUACACAAAGGGCACAUCUCAGAUGUAUAUUGAUGACCAGUGGAAGGAGCAGGUUCAGAAUUUGUCUGACUCUGGCAGCCUUCAGCUCCACAAGCUAACCAUGGUCCACCAGGGAAUCUACAGCUGUGAACUCUCUACUGCCAGAGACACACACCUGGUCCUCACCUACCUGGAGAUCACACCUGAUAAACUCUCUGAUGUUUCAGAUGGACUGGGUCGACAUGCAAUUGGUGAUAUAAUAAAAGCAGCAGUGAUUAUAGCAGCAGUGAUUAUAGCAGCAGUGAUUAUAGCAGCAGUGAUAUGUUACCGACAGAGAGGUAAAUUAUUAUGAUGAUGACAUCAUAAUCUGUUGAACCAUUUAACACAACCACCUCCUGAUGGACAGAGAGGAGGGUUACAUU